Non-coding RNA from Ornithorhynchus anatinus (platypus), 72 nucleotides. Lineage: Eukaryota; Metazoa; Chordata; Mammalia; Monotremata; Ornithorhynchidae. The record is from Rfam.
AGCAGCGUGGCUCACUGGAAAGAGCACGGGCUUUGGAGUCAGAGGUCAUGGGUUCGAACCCCAGCCCUGCCA